Molecule: long non-coding RNA, 819 nt
Organism: Amphiprion ocellaris (clown anemonefish)
Lineage: Eukaryota; Metazoa; Chordata; Actinopteri; Pomacentridae
Source: Ensembl
CUAUGUAUAUCUAUGGUCGGCACGUCUGGUAGCAUCUCUGGCUGCUGUUGACCUUGUUUUUGGAGUAAAACACGGUGGAAGCUGAAUUAGUGAGGAUGACUCCUGCUCCUGUCAUCUCUAAACUCCUCACACAUCUUUACCUGCACAUGAGGAAAAUCACUCCUGUAGAAUGCAGAUGUUCAGAGGGAGAUGAUGCCACAUCUGGUCCAGCUGAUGGAAGGUCUUGAAGUUCUCUGACUGGCCUCGACUGAAGAUGGUCGUCUCACUGGAUUUAAGGUUCAGAUGCUCAGUAACAAACUCCACCAAUGAGCCAACAGGGAAGCUUUAGGUUUAUUAAAUGUUGCUAUGAAGGUUUUGCUGUUUUUCUUUGUGAAUGCAAUGUGUUCCAACUGAAACUUGAAUUAGAACUUAGAAGUAAAUCCUUCCAUCUGAAAGGAUUUAGUUGCAUUAAUAACCUCAUAACAUUCUAGUUUUUAUUCCAGUCUUGGUUGGAAAUAGAAUCUCUGUAUUGAUUCAGGUAAAAACUGAACUUCACAGCAUGUUGGAGCAAAACAACCAGAUGAAAACUGUGAUGGUGUUGGAUUGUCAGACCGUAAUGUUCAGCUCAAAGCAGCUUUUCUAUCUCAGUUCAUUCUGACAUUCAGCUAUGAAUCAACACAGCAGAUGGUGAUCCAUGCUGUGGAAGUCUCACAUCUCCUGAUUUAAUGGAGCUGCUUUGUACUUUUUACACAGUUUAUUCACCAACACUUUAUUUAAUAAAAGUCCCAUCUAGUUUUCAUGAGGAAUGUGAUGUUUUAAUUUCUCUGUGAAUAACUGCAG